RNAcentral lists this long non-coding RNA (2199 nucleotides) under Panax ginseng (ginseng). RNAcentral's name for it is "long non-coding RNA (PGIN_LNC018236)". Lineage: Eukaryota; Viridiplantae; Streptophyta; Magnoliopsida; Apiales; Araliaceae. The record is from RNAcentral.
CAGCUUUGUCUAAAUGAGAAUUAUAUAUGCCCCUUCUUCAUAUAUUGCUGGUCUCUUAAUUAUGAUUGCCGUAGAGACAGUGCUCCUCAGUUUUCAUGUACAAAAAAAUAAUGAUAUCCCCGUGCACAAACCAUAUGAAAGGCUAGCCUUUUCACCAUCACUUCAUAUGCCACAAAGAACACACUUUUUAUUGCACUACAUGAAGAAUAUAGACACUACUUGAGGAGGACUUUCAAAUCACUGAAAUGCCCUUGUAUUCUCUGGAUGGCUGGCGUAAUCUUGGGAUCUGCUGUGAUUGGCUUUCGUCAUGCUCUCAAAUGGAAAAAUAAAUUUGCAUAAAUGUUCUUGUAUGUGCAAGGAAUAUCCAGCUUCACUCUGCAUGGGAAAAACACUAUAAGAUCAUCUUUACCAGAAUUAUCAACGUUAGUAACCAGGAAAACAACUUUAAAAAUGGGAAAAUUCAAAUGCUUGCUUCCAGUCUGAGGUUAGCAGCCCCCACCUAAGAUGAGGCUGAUAAGAUACAAUCUAUACAACGUAUCUUACACAAGAUUGUGAAAAAAGUUAGUUCAUAUCAUCCAUACCAAACAGGAAAAGCAUGCACCAAGUGCAUUAACGUUUAAACUCCCCACUGAAUAUAGAGAUGUCACAAAUUUCAGUAACAAAAUCUAUAUUCACAGAGUAUUUGAGAACAUAAAAUCAUCACAUUAAAGACUUGUAAAUCUGGAAAAACAUAGGCAACAUACAUGCAACAACCUUUAGAAAUUCCCACCAAAAUAGUGUCAGUUUGGUGGAAGCCGAUGAAAACUAGACAAAAACUACAUUUGCAGGCUUUGUGAUGAUCCAAUUAUACAGAGUCUGAGGCCAUGUACACAUCAACCAGCCAAAUUCAUUCACAUAUAACUGACAAUUCAAGUUUUUUAUGUAAAGCAAAGACAACCAGAAUCUCCAGAUGAAUAUAUAGGAGAAUGCGAAUUCAUGAAAACCAUAACUAAAUUAAAUCAGAUCAACUAAUUCGUGGAAACCUUAUUACAUGUUUGAAGAUUCCCUCCAAUUGUUAAUUGCAGCCAACACUUUCGGUAGUAUAGAAAUUCAUUGAGUCUUUGCCUAUGUGAAAUAGGCAAAUCAUAACAACAGUAUCUAUAAAUAAUCAGACCGAUGUAGAAUAUUAUCACAAAAUUAGGUAUUAUUAUGAAAUCGCAUUAUUAACUUUAUUCUUCUAGUUAGAAGCUUGGCCAUCACAAAACGUGGCGACCAAGUUUGUUUAGGCCUAUAUAAAGGCUUUUAUUUCUCUUGUUGAAAAUAUAUACAACAAAACUAAUUCUCCUACAACUAUCCUAAACAACAGCAAAUGAACAUGGGUUGAGAAUAUUAUAUAUAUAUAUAUAUAUACACACACACACACACACACACACAAACACAACAAAAUCAGAAUAGAAGUGCUCCUCUUUAUUCAACAGUCACUAGUCCAUUUUAAAAAAAUAACAGGAAUUUGCUAUACGUAUGUUUCUGAGAAAGUAGAAGGAUUAGAGCUUAGAAGCAAAAUCUCUUAUUGAUAGUUGCAGUUUUGUUAAUAAAAAUCGCUUGUACUGAGCAAGGAGCUAUAUGAAUAACACUUUAAAGUUGAUACAAACAGGACAUAUCCAAUUACUAAAUGUUACUCGAGGAAAGUUGAGGCUCAAAUUCAAUACCUCAGUACAUGUAUGAUUUUUAAUGCCUAACAUGCUUUAUGCCAUAUACAGAAUUAAACUAAUCCUUUCAUUGCAGAAUAUACGUGCGAAGGUCCGAUCUCAGGUUGGUCCAAAAGAGGUGAACCUACAAAACGAAGAAGACCACAAAUAUCCUCGGCGGCGGAUACGUCCCCUCUGAGAGUAAGUGCCGGAAAGAGGAGUAGGAAAGAUAUGCAAAGGAGGUAUUGAGGUUUUAGAGAGAGAAUUUGGGAAAUUAGAAGUUACCUUCUCUGGCAAUGACGUGGAGUCUCUUCAUUGGCUUGGGUUGUAACCUCACAUGUAUGGAGGGUACUUGCUUGGGGAAGAGGUAGGUAACUACCUUCUGACAAGUUGAUAGUGACGUGAAGCAUUCUGCUUUUAGGGGACCACAACUAAGGGUCGGUAUUAUUAAAGGGUUUCGCACUUAUGCUGAAGGGGUUUAGCCUUUGUGCGUCGCCGCUUCCAUCGAAGGUAUCAUGUCAAUAGAAUAGGG